RNAcentral lists this ribosomal RNA (1459 nucleotides) under uncultured organism. RNAcentral describes it as "partial small subunit ribosomal RNA". It matches the Rfam family "Bacterial small subunit ribosomal RNA". The record is from RNAcentral.
UGAUGAACGCUGGCGGCGUGCCUAAUACAUGCAAGUCGAGCGAACGGACGAGAAGCUUGCUUCUCUGAUGUUAGCGGCGGACGGGUGAGUAACACGUGGAUAACCUACCUAUAAGACUGGGAUAACUUCGGGAAACCGGAGCUAAUACCGGAUAAUAUUUUGAACCGCAUGGUUCAAAAGUGAAAGACGGUCUUGCUGUCACUUAUAGAUGGAUCCGCGCUGCAUUAGCUAGUUGGUAAGGUAACGGCUUACCAAGGCAACGAUGCAUAGCCGACCUGAGAGGGUGAUCGGCCACACUGGAACUGAGACACGGUCCAGACUCCUACGGGAGGCAGCAGUAGGGAAUCUUCCGCAAUGGGCGAAAGCCUGACGGAGCAACGCCGCGUGAGUGAUGAAGGUCUUCGGAUCGUAAAACUCUGUUAUUAGGGAAGAACAUAUGUGUAAGUAACUGUGCACAUCUUGACGGUACCUAAUCAGAAAGCCACGGCUAACUACGUGUCAGCAGCCGCGGUAAUACGUAGGUGGCAAGCGUUAUCCGGAAUUAUUGGGCGUAAAGCGCGCGUAGGCGGUUUUUUAAGUCUGAUGUGAAAGCCCACGGCUCAACCGUGGAGGGUCAUUGGAAACUGGAAAACUUGAGUGCAGAAGAGGAAAGUGGAAUUCCAUGUGUAGCGGUGAAAUGCGCAGAGAUAUGGAGGAACACCAGUGGCGAAGGCGACUUUCUGGUCUGUAACUGACGCUGAUGUGCGAAAGCGUGGGGAUCAAACAGGAUUAGAUACCCUGGUAGUCCACGCCGUAAACGAUGAGUGCUAAGUGUUAGGGGGUUUCCGCCCCUUAGUGCUGCAGCUAACGCAUUAAGCACCCCGCCUGGGGAGUACGACCGCAAGGUUGAAACUCAAAGGAAUUGACGGGGACCCGCACAAGCGGUGGAGCAUGUGGUUUAAUUCGAAGCAACGCGAAGAACCUUACCAAAUCUUGACAUCCUUUGACAACUCUAGAGAUAGAGCCUUCCCCUUCGGGGGACAAAGUGACAGGUGGUGCAUGGUUGUCGUCAGCUCGUGUCGUGAGAUGUUGGGUUAAGUCCCGCAACGAGCGCAACCCUUAAGCUUAGUUGCCAUCAUUAAGUUGGGCACUCUAAGUUGACUGCCGGUGACAAACCGGAGGAAGGUGGGGAUGACGUCAAAUCAUCAUGCCCCUUAUGAUUUGGGCUACACACGUGCUACAAUGGACAAUACAAAGGGCAGCGAAACCGCGAGGUCAAGCAAAUCCCAUAAAGUUGUUCUCAGUUCGGAUUGUAGUCUGCAACUCGACUACAUGAAGCUGGAAUCGCUAGUAAUCGUAGAUCAGCAUGCUACGGUGAAUACGUUCCCGGGUCUUGUACACACCGCCCGUCACACCACGAGAGUUUGUAACACCCGAAGCCGGUGGAGUAACCUUUUAGGAGCUAGCCGUCGAAGGUGGG